Molecule: ribosomal RNA, 301 nt
Filed under: uncultured bacterium
Lineage: Bacteria
Description: partial 16S ribosomal RNA
Rfam family: Bacterial small subunit ribosomal RNA
Source: RNAcentral
CAGUCGCCGCGGGAACACGGAGGGUGCAAGCGUUAAUCGGAGUUACUGGGCGUAAAGCGUGCGCAGGCGGUUUGUUAAGACAGAUGUGAAAUCCCCGGGCUCAACCUGGGAAUGGCAAUGGAUACUGGCAAGCUAGAGUGUGUCAGAGGAUGGUGGAAUUCCCGGUGUAGCGGUGAAAUGCGUAGAGAUCGGGAGGAACAUCAGUGGCGAAGGCGGCCAUCUGGGACAACACUGACGCUGGGGCACGAAAGCGUGGGGAGCAAACAGGAUUAGAUACCCCUGUAGUCCCUGUCUCUUAUAC